UACGUAGGCAGCGAGCGUUGUUCGGAGUUACUGGGCGUAAAGGGUGUGUAGGCGGUUGUUUAAGUUUGGUGUGAAAUCUCCCGGCUCAACUGGGAGGGUGCGCCGAAUACUGAAUGACUUGGAGUGCGGGAGAGGAGAGUGGAAUUCCUGGUGUAGCGGUGAAAUGCGUAGAUAUCAGGUGGAACACCGGUGGUGUAGACGGCUCUCUGGACCGUAACUGACGCUGAGACACGAAAGCGUGGGUAGCAAACAGG
This 254-nucleotide ribosomal RNA is filed under the name uncultured bacterium. RNAcentral describes it as "partial 16S ribosomal RNA". It matches the Rfam family "Bacterial small subunit ribosomal RNA", at positions 524 to 776 of the family's 1533-position model. The record is from RNAcentral.